UUAGUGUUGGUUUAGGAAUUUUCCUAUAAACAACUCUCCAAUUCCCUUAAGCCCUUAAAUAACAUUGACCUAAUUGACAAGGCAUCAGAAACAAGAUGGUUUAAAGUGCCUUUAUUUAUUUUGACAAUUGUAGCUCUUUCUAGGUAUAACAACAACAAAACCAAGCCUUAGUCCCACUAAGUGGGGUUGGUUAUAUGAAUCUUUUUCCGCCAAUUUAUGCGAUCAUGGACCAUUUCUAGGUAUGAGAAUUUUAAAUCAAAAAUUUAAUUUUUCCCCUUAUAUUAUCAUACUUUUGAUUUAUCAUACUGAUGGACUCGGUAAUAAUUUCACUACUAUGAGUUAUAUUUGAUUUUUAUUUUUCUGCAUUUUUAAUUUUUGAUUUUUGGGUUUUAGGAUUAGAUUUGUGGCUGGAAAUUUAUUAGUUGGCUAGGAUUAGUUUGGGAAUGCUUCCAUGUGCUUGGAGGUCUUUGUGAGCUCCACCUCAUGGAAAACCUUAAGGGAAUUGAGUAAUAAAUACUAUUUCAAAAUUCAAACUGGGUGAAAAAAAACCUUGCUUUUUGUCCAUCUCAGAUGCCCUUUUUUUGCCAUUCUGUUCUCUCUCUUUCUCUAUUAAGCUCUUUUGUGUGUGUGGGUGGGGGGUGAGUUGGUGUUCAAGGGGCUUGCAGGCUCGCAUUACCCUCCCUUUUAUUCUUUUUUAUUCAUCUUAUGUUCUCUUUCUUUCAUCUCCUCCUCUCAACAUACCAGGUCGCGUGGAAGACCAACCCUAGUAAUCAGAUAUUCUGUAUUCUGGAGUGUAUUUAUAUUUUUUAUAGGUUGAAAUCUUUAAUUUCCAAGUGAUUUGAUUUUGAAGCAAGUUGUCAACUUGGCUGCUGCAGAUCUUAAAUUUUCCUUAACUGAAAAGCCUUGAGAGAGCAAUAUGUUGUAGCUUGAUUAGCACCCUACUAUAAUGCUCCAUGUGGGUGGCAGGGAAGAGUAUUUGGAAUAAAACUGGAGAUUGCCGCCUUCAAGUUGAUACCUCAGUCUCGCUUUUACCGUUAUUUUUUCUUGCAAAUGCAGGAUUGGGAUUUUCCCCACAGUUUCCUACUUUUGAAGCUCAUAUAUGGAAACCCAUUUGAUGGAAGAAAAAACCUAUUGUGGUAUGUUUUUGUAUACUGGUGGAUGGACAGGGAUGUCAUUUUAUCACGCAAGGAUACAAAGUUUAUGAAGGUGGCUCCAAAUGUUUGUGAAACCGUUGUUUUUAGUUUUUUAACCUCUUAAAGAUUUUUUAUUUUUUAUUUUUUAUAAACUUGU
Malania oleifera is the source of this 1290-nucleotide long non-coding RNA. RefSeq lists it as uncharacterized. The record is from RefSeq and is a predicted model, not a curated record. Lineage: Eukaryota; Viridiplantae; Streptophyta; Magnoliopsida; Santalales; Ximeniaceae. The transcript has 3 exons.